Branchiostoma belcheri (Belcher's lancelet) is the source of this 416-nucleotide long non-coding RNA. RefSeq lists it as uncharacterized. The transcript is spliced from 3 exons. The record is from RefSeq and is a predicted model, not a curated record. NCBI's taxonomy places the organism in Eukaryota, Metazoa, Chordata, Leptocardii, Amphioxiformes, Branchiostomatidae.
CUCGCGCUAGCCUUACCUUAUUAAUUUACGUCGGUCGAACUUUUAACUACUUCUGCAAAAUUAUAACAGCAAGUUCCCUCUGUUAAAACAAAGAGCAACGUGUUUACGGAGACACCGUGUAGUGUCCUUGGCAAGUGCACAAGCCGGAUGACUUUGCAGUUUUCAUCCUAAAUUUAUCCUUUAUAGUUUCUUGAAUUGCAAGUCAUUCUCUGAAGAGUCAGCUUCGUCGCCGCACACACACAUAAGGUACAUGUACUGUCGCAGUGUAGUCUUGCUGUUUGACAAACAUUAAGUGUUUUCCGGGGUCGCCUGAAGUACUCUUGCAUCAGCUGCCGUCAGCCGUCAGUUACUUUGCUAGCCAGCGUAAACAAGCCUGGACUGAGGUCAGCUAUUAGGCGUCAACAGUGGCCUGUUCU